UACGUAGGGUGCAAGCGUUGUCCGGAAUUAUUGGGCGUAAAGAGCUCGUAGGCGGUUUGUCGCGUCGAAUGUGAAAACCCGGGGCUCAACUCCGGGCUUGCGGGCGAUACGGGCAGGCUAGAGUUCGGUAGGGGAGACUGGAAUUCCUGGUGUAGCGGUGAAAUGCGCAGAUAUCAGGAGGAACACCGGUGGCGAAGGCGGCUCUCUGGGCCUUACCUGACGCUGAGGAGCGAAAGCAUGGGGAGCGAACAGG
This 253-nucleotide ribosomal RNA is filed under the name uncultured bacterium. RNAcentral describes it as "partial 16S ribosomal RNA". It matches the Rfam family "Bacterial small subunit ribosomal RNA", at positions 524 to 776 of the family's 1533-position model. The record is from RNAcentral.